RNAcentral lists this ribosomal RNA (253 nucleotides) under uncultured bacterium. RNAcentral's name for it is "partial 16S ribosomal RNA". It matches the Rfam family "Bacterial small subunit ribosomal RNA", at positions 524 to 776 of the family's 1533-position model. The record is from RNAcentral.
UACGUAGGGUGCAAGCGUUGUCCGGAAUUAUUGGGCGUAAAGAGCUCGUAGGCGGUUUGUUGCGUCGGCUGUGAAAUCCCGAGGCUCAACCUCGGGUCUGCAGUCGAUACGAGCAAACUAGAGUGUUGCAGGGGAGACUGGAAUUCCUGGUGUAGCGGUGAAAUGCGCAGAUAUCAGGAGGAACACCGGUGGCGAAGGCGGGUCUCUGGGCAUUUCCUGACGCUGAGGCACGAAAGCCAGGGGAGCAAACGGG